GAACAAUCUCUCAGAUACUUAACUUCUUUAUCAGUAAAUGGUAGUCAUUAUGUUCCAUUCAAGAAAAACUUUUGUAUUAGAUUUUACCAUGUGCAUAAAGAGUUCACAACUUCUGAUCAAAAAAUUAUUGGGAAAAAGAAAAUUCCAAUGCUUGGAAAUACCUGUUACUCUAUAAGAUAUCUCAAGGUCAUUUGGAAUUAUUAUUUUCUUGCAAUCAAGCUAAGGGAAGUUACAAGAACAAUCCUAAUGUUGAUCAGUUUAGAUGGACUCUUAGAAAAUUGCUAUUUUGCAAAAAUAUCUGUGUUGAAUUUUAUAUUGCAUGGCAUCAUAGAUGCAAGUAACACCAAAAUCUAAAAUUUAUUGUUGCUACUUGCAUCUGUGAUGCCAUGCAAUAUAAAAUCUAUAUAUCAU
RNAcentral lists this long non-coding RNA (411 nucleotides) under Androctonus crassicauda. The record is from RNAcentral. Lineage: Eukaryota; Metazoa; Arthropoda; Arachnida; Scorpiones; Buthidae.